This 460-nucleotide ribosomal RNA is filed under the name uncultured bacterium. RNAcentral's name for it is "partial 16S ribosomal RNA". It matches the Rfam family "Bacterial small subunit ribosomal RNA", at positions 338 to 795 of the family's 1533-position model. The record is from RNAcentral.
CCUACGGGUGGCAGCAGUGAGGAAUAUUGGUCAAUGGACGAGAGUCUGAACCAGCCAAGUAGCGUGAAGGAUGACUGCCCUAUGGGUUGUAAACUUCUUUUAUAAAGGAAUAAAACGAGGCACGUGUGCCUUUUUGCAUGUACUUUAUGAAUAAGGAUCGGCUAACUCCGUGCCAGCAGACGCGGUAAUACGGAGGAUCCGAGCGUUAUCCGGAUUUAUUGGGUUUAAAGGGAGCGUAGAUGGGUUGUUAAGUCAGUUGUGAAAGUUUGCGGCUCAACCGUAAAAGUGCAAUUGAUACUGGCAGUCGUGAGUACAGUUGAGGUAGGCGGAAUUCGUGGUGUAGCGGUGAAAUGCUUAGAUAUCACGAAGAACCCCGAUUGCGAAGGCAGCUUACUAAACUGUGACUGACAUUGAUGCUCGAAAGUGUGGGUAUCAAACAGGAUUAGAUACCCGAGUAGUC